RNAcentral lists this ribosomal RNA (465 nucleotides) under Vreelandella stevensii. RNAcentral's name for it is "partial 16S ribosomal RNA". It matches the Rfam family "Bacterial small subunit ribosomal RNA", at positions 338 to 795 of the family's 1533-position model. The record is from RNAcentral. Lineage: Bacteria; Pseudomonadati; Pseudomonadota; Gammaproteobacteria; Oceanospirillales; Halomonadaceae.
CCUACGGGUGGCAGCAGUGGGGAAUAUUGGACAAUGGGCGAAAGCCUGAUCCAGCCAUGCCGCGUGUGUGAAGAAGGCCUUCGGGUUGUAAAGCACUUUCAGUGGGGAAGAAAGCCUUGGGGCUAAUACCCUCGAGGAAGGACAUCACCCACAGAAGAAGCACCGGCUAACUCCGUGCCAGCAGCCGCGGUAAUACGGAGGGUGCGAGCGUUAAUCGGAAUUACUGGGCGUAAAGCGCGCGUAGGCGGUCUGAUAAGCCGGUUGUGAAAGCCCCGGGCUCAACCUGGGAACGGCAUCCGGAACUGUCAGGCUAGAGUGCAGGAGAGGAAGGUAGAAUUCCCGGUGUAGCGGUGAAAUGCGUAGAGAUCGGGAGGAAUAACAGUGGCGAAGGCGGCCUUCUGGACUGACACUGACGCUGAGGUGCGAAAGCGUGGGUAGCAAACAGGAUUAGAUACCCCUGUAGUC